Molecule: ribosomal RNA, 468 nt
Filed under: uncultured bacterium
Lineage: Bacteria
Description: partial 16S ribosomal RNA
Rfam family: Bacterial small subunit ribosomal RNA
Source: RNAcentral
GACGAACGCUGGCGGCGUGCUUAACACAUGCAAGUCGAACGGAAAGGCCCUGCUUUUGUGGGGUGCUCGAGUGGCGAACGGGUGAGUAACACGUGAGUAACCUGCCCUUGACUUUGGGAUAACUUCAGGAAACUGGGGCUAAUACCGGAUAGGAGCUCCUGCUGCAUGGUGGGGGUUGGAAAGUUUCGGCGGUUGGGGAUGGACUCGCGGCUUAUCAGCUUGUUGGUGGGGUAGUGGCUUACCAAGGCUUUGACGGGUAGCCGGCCUGAGAGGGUGACCGGCCACAUUGGGACUGAGGUUCGGCCCCGGCUCCUACGGGGGGGAAGAGGGGGGAAUAUUGCAAAAUGGGGGGAAGGCUGAUGCAGCAACGCCGCGGGCGGGAUGACGGCCUUCGGGUUGGAAACCGCUUUCGCCUGGGACGGAGGGUGAGUGACGGGAAUGGGUAAAGAAGGACCGGCUAAAUACGGU